GAAACCUUUAUUUGGUUUAUUUAAGUUGAGAUUAUUUAAAAGUUAUUUUUUGUUUAAAAUUAUUUUUAUAAAAUAAAUUUAAACUUAGACCGUGAGGGGUUGAAAGGAAUUUUUAUGGAAGAAAAUUUUUUUAUUGUACCUUUUGUAUCAGGGUGAAUUAAUUUUUGUUAAUAAAUUUAGGUUUCCCGAAAGUUUAAGAUCUUAAAUCUAUUUGGUUUUAAUUGUAACAAAAAUUUUAAAAAAAUUUUUUAAGAUUUGAAAUGAAAAUCGUUUAAUCUGAUAUCUGGUUAUUUUGUUAAUAAAUUUAAUUUAGGUGAUUUAAUUUUAAUAUUUUUUUUUCCCCUAAAUUUUUUUCACUAAUUUAAAUUGGGUUAAUCUAAUUUAAUUUUUAUAAUUUAAUUGGAUAAGAAAAUUGUAGGAUUAAAAUUUUUUUUCUAUAUAAAUUUGUUUUAAAAUAUUUUUUUUUUAAUUUUAUAUUUAAUUUAAAACAAAAUUAAUUAAUUAAAUUAUCAAUUUUAUUAAUUAUGAUUUAAUUAGUAAAUUUAUGGUAAAUAUUGAUUUUAUGAAUUCAGCAUAUAAACUUCUGACUGUUUAUCAAAAACAUUUCUUUCAGAAAUUUAUUUAUUGAAAGUUUGACCUGCUCAAUGAAUUUUUUAAAUAGCUGCAGUAAUUUAACUGUACAAAGGUAGCAUAAUAAUUAGUCUUUUAAUUGAGGUCUAGAAUGAAUGGUUUAACAAGAAGUAAACUUUAUUAAUUCAAUUAAGUGAAAUUUAUUUUUUAGUUAAAAAGCUAAAAUUUAAAAAUGGGACGAUAAGACCCUUUAGAUCUUUAAAUUUUAAUUAAAUAACAAUAUUAAUGUGGAUAUAAUUUUUAUUUUAAAGAAUUUUUUGUUGGGGUGACAGCUAAAAUUUUAAACCUUUAGUGUUUUAUACCAUUUUUUCAUGUAAUUUUGAACCUUAAUUUAGGGUUAAUAAAAUAAGAUACCUUAGGGAUAACAGCAUAAUAAAUUUGUAAAGUUCAUAUAUAUAAAUUUGAUUGUGACCUCGAUGUUGAAUUAAUCUAGAAUUCUGGGGCAGAAAAUAGAAUUUUAGGUCUGUUCGACCUUUAAAAGAUUACAUGAUUUGAGUUCAAACCGGCGUGAGCCAGGUUGGUUUCUAUCUAUUUUAAUUCAUAAUUUAUUAGUACGAAAGGACUUUAAAGUUAGAAACAUUUUCU
RNAcentral lists this ribosomal RNA (1215 nucleotides) under Nilaparvata bakeri. RNAcentral describes it as "16S ribosomal RNA". The stretch from base 991 to 1149 matches the Rfam family "Archaeal large subunit ribosomal RNA", at positions 2542 to 2701 of the family's 2987-position model. Lineage: Eukaryota; Metazoa; Arthropoda; Insecta; Hemiptera; Delphacidae. The record is from RNAcentral.